CAGUCGCCGCGGUAAUACGAAGGGGGCUAGCGUUGCUCGGAAUUACUGGGCGUAAAGCGCACGUAGGCGGAUAUUUAAGUCAGGGGUGAAAUCCCAGAGCUCAACUCUGGAACUGCCUUUGAUACUGGGUAUCUUGAGUAUGGAAGAGGUGAGUGGAAUUCCGAGUGUAGAGGUGAAAUUCGUAGAUAUUCGCAAGAACACCAGUGGCGAAGGCGGCUCACUGGUCCAUAACUGACGCUGAGGCACGGAAGCGUGGGGAGCAAACAGGAUUAGAUACCCCGGUAGUCCCUGUCUCUUAUAC
Molecule: ribosomal RNA, 301 nt
Filed under: uncultured bacterium
Lineage: Bacteria
Description: partial 16S ribosomal RNA
Rfam family: Bacterial small subunit ribosomal RNA
Source: RNAcentral